This 388-nucleotide ribosomal RNA is filed under the name uncultured bacterium. RNAcentral's name for it is "bacterial SSU rRNA". It matches the Rfam family "Bacterial small subunit ribosomal RNA", at positions 29 to 417 of the family's 1533-position model. The record is from RNAcentral.
AUUGAACGCUGGCGGAAUGCUUUACACAUGCAAGUCGAGCGGCAGCGCGGGGGCAACCCUGGCGGCGAGCGGCGAACGGGUGAGUAACAUAUCGGAACGUACCCCGUCGUGGGGGAUAACACAGCGAAAGCUGUGCUAAUACCGCAUACGACCUGAGGGUGAAAGCGGGGGAUCGCAAGACCUCGCGCGAUGGGAGCGGCCGAUAUCGGAUUAGCUUGUUGGUGAGGUAAAGGCUCACCAAGGCGACGAUCCGUAGCUGGUCUGAGAGGACGACCAGCCACACUGGAACUGAGACACGGUCCAGACUCCUACGGGGGGCAGCAGUGGGGAAUUUUGGACAAUGGGGGGCAACCCUGAUCCAGCCAUUCCGCGUGAGUGAAGAAGGCCU